CCUCACUCUGACCAUACCACAUUAAUUUGGUCACAGCACCACCUAUUGAUCAAAAGUGAUAAACCAUUAAAUCUUUAUUAUUGACUGUAUAUAUCAUUUUUCAGCUCUUUUGCCUAAAAUGAUCCUAAUAGGUCAUUAAUUGCUUACUGUUGCAGCUGGUCUGAUGCUCCCAGCCAUCUUGGCUGGCUUGCUGUGCCUUUUUUGCUUGGCCCCAUAAUUGCUGCUUGCAGCUAUAUUUAUUAUUAUUAUUAUUAUUAUUAUUAUUAUUACUACAAUUACUAUUAUUAUUUCGUACUUUUGCUAUUUCGAGGCAUUAUGAUUACUAGCGAUUAUCUGAGUGACAAGUCUCCUGGUGAUAGUGGCCACUGCUGUUAGGAAGAGAAUCGAGAAAUGAGAUGUAGAAGGGUGUUUAAUAGGAAUCUCGCCUAGGGUGCCAAAAAGGCUAGAAACGGCCCUGUCCACAGAAAUAACUCAAAUGAAUUGGUGGAGUGCUUGAUUGGUAAGUACAUUUGCAUGUUGUUGGCAUAACAAUGAAAUGACACUCCGUACUAUCUGAAAAUGCUUUAUAUGAGCAAAUAUAAAGAAAAAAGUAUGGGAGAAAGGAUAGAGCCUUGCAGAACCCCCCAAGGAAGAUGUUUUUUUUUUUACCUGAGAUUGUAUUACUAUAAUUGACUGAAAAACAUCUAUCAUUCAAAUAGGACUGAAACAAUUUCAAAACUGCCCUUUAACCCUACUGAAUGUUCAAGACGAGAAAUGAGGAUGUUAUGGUCGAUCAUGUUAAAAGCUGCAGUCAAAUCAAGCAGCACCAAAACAACACCAUCUUCUUUGUGUAAAGCCAGGAAGAUAUCCCUUAUAACGCACCGACUCUGUGCUCUGGGCUGUUUUGAACCCUGACUGAAACAUUUCUCCUAUAGAAUUUUCAUGUAGGAAUGAAAGAUGUUAUGAUUGUUGUUGUUGCUGUUGUUAAUCAAGUGAAUAAUUAGUUUGAACCUACAAUUUGUGUCUUUAGAGGGUCUGCAAGCAUAAACAUCCAGUUUGGUCAGUCAGGACAUUUACUUUUUUGUUAUACUUUGCUGACUAACAAAACCACUGUCAAUAGGUUGUUGUUCAAACAAUAAAUGAGAGCACAUGAUGAUUGUACCAAAUGUUUUUUUUUUUUGUUUGUUUGUUUAUUUUUUCCAUUUUAAUUUUUUUUUUUCAUUUAUUCUGACAUAUUUUGUCAUUUAUUGUGCACUAAAACAACAGCUUUCAUAAACAGUUUUUAAUUGUUGUCUUUUGAUAUUGAACUGCCUUUCAUUUCUCUAAUUCAACUUCUCUUUGUGAUAGAGUUCCUGUGCAAGGAGUGCCCCAGGGUGCACAUCCACUUCAACCGUGUGGACAUAAGGGAAAUUCCUGCAGAGCCCAUCUUCUUCCGCAGGUGGCUACAUGAAAGAUUUGAAAUCAAAGACAAGCUUCUGACCGCUUUCUACGAAUCUGAAGACCCUGAGAAAAAGAACAGGUUCCCUGGAGAAGGACGAAAGUCAUAUCUUAGUCUAACAAAGACAUUUCCUUCUCUGCUGAUUUUGGGUGGUCUCACUUUACCAAUGCUGUUAACAGAGUCAGGUAGAAAACUCUAUCUCAAUACCUGGCUGUAUGGGACUCUGAUUGGAUGGGUGUGGGUAAAUGUAAGUCCAUAAGCUAGCCAUACA
This is a long non-coding RNA of Megalobrama amblycephala (Wuchang bream), 1688 nucleotides long. RefSeq lists it as uncharacterized. The transcript has 2 exons. The record is from RefSeq and is a predicted model, not a curated record. Lineage: Eukaryota; Metazoa; Chordata; Actinopteri; Cypriniformes; Xenocyprididae.